CGGGUGAGUAUCGCGUAGGGAUUUAUCGUUGGGUGGGGGAUAACCGCGGGAAACUGCGGCUAAUACCGCAUGACGCCUGUGGGCCAAAGGUCUUCGGACUGCCUGAUGAGGAGCCUGCGUCCGAUUAGCUAGUAGGUUGGGUAAUGGCUGACCUAGGCUGUGAUCGGUAGCUGGUCUGAGAGGAUGAUCAGCCACACUGGGACUGAGACACGGCCCAG
RNAcentral lists this ribosomal RNA (218 nucleotides) under uncultured bacterium. RNAcentral describes it as "partial 16S ribosomal RNA". It matches the Rfam family "Bacterial small subunit ribosomal RNA", at positions 103 to 334 of the family's 1533-position model. The record is from RNAcentral.